This 737-nucleotide ribosomal RNA is filed under the name uncultured Bacteroidota bacterium. Its description in RNAcentral is "bacterial SSU rRNA". It matches the Rfam family "Bacterial small subunit ribosomal RNA", at positions 21 to 773 of the family's 1533-position model. Lineage: Bacteria; Pseudomonadati; Bacteroidota. The record is from RNAcentral.
GGCUCAGAACGAACGCUGGCGGCGUGCCUAACACAUGCAAGUCAAGGAGAACGUUUCCUUCGGGAGACUAUUAAACUGGCGCACGGGUGAGUAACACGUGGAUUAUCUGCCCUUAACACAGACAUAACCCAGGGAAACUUGGAUUAAUAUCUGAUGAGGCCUCCGGGUCAAAGCUACGGCGGUUAAGGAUGAGUCUGCGUAUGAUUAGCUAGUUGGUAAGGUAAUGGCUUACCAAGGCUACGAUCAUUAACUGGUCUGAGAGGACGAUCAGUCACACUGGAACUGAGACACGGUCCAGACUCCUACGGGAGGCAGCAGUGAGGAAUUUUGGACAAUGGGGGAAACCCUGAUCCAGCGACGCCGCGUGUGGGAUGAAUGGGUUAUGCCCUGUAAACCACUGUCAGCAGAGAAGAAAAGGCUCUUAUGGAGCCCGGGACUGUAUCUGCAGAGGAAGGACCGGCUAACUACGUGCCAGCAGCCGCGGUAAUACGUAGGGUCCAAGCGUUGUCCGGAAUUACUGGGUAUAAAGGGUGCGCAGGCGGGCUCGUGCGUCGAAGGUUAAAGGCCAUGGCUCAACCAUGGAAAUGCCCUCGAUACGGCGAGUCUUGAGUAUGAGAGAGGAAGAUGGAAUUCCUGGUGUAGCAGUGAAAUGCGUAGAUAUCAGGAGGAACACCGGUGGCGAAGGCGGUCUUCUGGCUCAUUACUGACGCUCAGGCACGAAAGCGUGGGGAGCGAAC